AUAAUUCCUGGCAGGGAAGAUACCAUAAUCACAAAGGUGGUAUUCCCCAGGGCAAAGCUUAUCUAUUGCACUCUGGACGUGUUGACGCCUGCGAUAGCCCCAGAUGCAAGAAACUCUACUCCAUAAUUUGUGGUAGUGGGGGACUGCCUUUGCUUUCUACCA
This 162-nucleotide small nuclear RNA is filed under the name Dasypus novemcinctus (nine-banded armadillo). Its description in RNAcentral is "U1 spliceosomal RNA (ENSDNOG00000034635.1)". It matches the Rfam family "U1 spliceosomal RNA". Rfam says of the family: U1 is a small nuclear RNA (snRNA) component of the spliceosome (involved in pre-mRNA splicing). Its 5' end forms complementary base pairs with the 5' splice junction, thus defining the 5' donor site of an intron. Lineage: Eukaryota; Metazoa; Chordata; Mammalia; Cingulata; Dasypodidae. The record is from RNAcentral.